UUCGGGGUGAGUGGCAGACGGGUGAGUAACGCGUGGGAACGUGCCCUUCAGUUCGGAAUAACCCAGGGAAACUUGGGCUAAUACCGGAUACGUGCGAGAGCAGAAAGAUUUAUCGCUGAAGGAUCGGCCCGCGUCUGAUUAGCUAGUUGGUGAGGUAAUGGCUCACCAAGGCGACGAUCAGUAGCUGGUCUGAGAGGAUGAUCAGCCACAUUGGGACUGAGACACGGCCCAAACUCCUACGGGAGGCAGCAGUGGGGAAUAUUGGACAAUGGGCGCAAGCCUGAUCCAGCCAUGCCGCGUGAGUGAUGACGGCCUUAGGGUUGUAAAGCUCUUUCGGCGGGGACGAUAAUGACGGUACCCGCAGAAGAAGCCCCGGCUAACUUCGUGCCAGCAGCCGCGGUAAUACGAAGGGGGCUAGCGUUGUUCGGAAUCACUGGGCGUAAAGGGCGCGUAGGCGGCUUUGUAAGUCGGGGGUGAAAGCCUGUGGCUCAACCACAGAAUUGCCUUCGAUACUGCAUGGCUUGAGACCGGAAGAGGUAAGUGGAACUGCGAGUGUAGAGGUGAAAUUCGUAGAUAUUCGCAAGAACACCAGUGGCGAAGGCGGCUUACUGGUCCGGUUCUGACGCUGAGGCGCGAAAGCGUGGGGAGCAAACAGGAUUAGAUACCCUGGUAGUCCACGCCGUAAACGAUGAAUGCCAGCCGUUGGCGAGCUUGCUCGUCAGUGGCGCAGCUAACGCUUUAAGCA
Molecule: ribosomal RNA, 745 nt
Filed under: Microvirga sp.
Lineage: Bacteria; Pseudomonadati; Pseudomonadota; Alphaproteobacteria; Hyphomicrobiales; Methylobacteriaceae
Description: bacterial SSU rRNA
Rfam family: Bacterial small subunit ribosomal RNA
Source: RNAcentral